UGGGGAAUUUUGGACAAUGGGCGAAAGCCUGAUCCAGCAAUGCCGCGUGUGUGAAGAAGGCCUUCGGGUUGUAAAGCACUUUUGUCCGGAAAGAAAUCCUUGGCUCUAAUACAGUCGGGGGAUGACGGUACCGGAAGAAUAAGCACCGGCUAACUACGUGCCAGCAGCCGCGGUAAUACGUAGGGUGCAAGCGUUAAUCGGAAUUACUGGGCGUAAAGCGUGCGCAGGCGGUUUGCUAAGGCCGAUGUGAAAUCCCCGGGCUCAACCUGGGAACUGCAUUGGUGACUGGCAGGCUAGAGUAUGGCAGAGGGGGGUAGAAUUCCACGUGUAGCAGUGAAAUGCGUAGAGAUGUGGAGGAAUACCGAUGGCGAAGGCAGCCCCCUGGGCCAAUACUGACGCUCAUGCACGAAAGCGUGGGGAGCAAAACAGGAUUAGAUACCCUGGUAGUCCACGCCCUAAACGAUGUCAACUAGUUGUUGGGGAUUCAUUUCCUUAGUAACGUAGCUAACGCGUGAAGUUGACCGCCUGGGGAGUACGGUCGCAAGAUUAAAACUCAAAUGAAUUGACGGGGUCAUAGCUG
RNAcentral lists this ribosomal RNA (580 nucleotides) under uncultured bacterium. Its description in RNAcentral is "partial 16S ribosomal RNA". It matches the Rfam family "Bacterial small subunit ribosomal RNA", at positions 355 to 932 of the family's 1533-position model. The record is from RNAcentral.